AUGAGGUCCGCCGAGUUGAGGUCGCUCCACCGGCUCUUGAACACGCUGUCAGACACCACGAUGCGGUGCCGGUGCCGGUCCAGCUCCACCUUGUUACAAGAAUCAUCGGCAGCACCGGCAUCAUCAUCACCGAAGCGCGCCGACGGCACGCGCUCGACAAAGAUGCCGGCGAGGAGGUCGCGGCCGGACCCUGCUGACGACGGCACUGCCGCACCGACAGUAGCGUCGUCGCCUGCUGCGCCGAAGACGAAUCGCGCGCUGGCGGCGGCGUACUUGAGGCCGAGGUCGGCGUCGUCGGGGUGGACGCGGGCGCGGCAGAGCGGGCAGCUGGCGCUGGAGUGCAGCCAGCGGUCGACGCAGUCGAGGUGGAAGGCGUGGCGGCAGCGCGGGAGCAGGCGGAGCAGGUCGGCGUCGUCGAAGCGGGCCAGGCACACGGCGCACUCCAGCCCCUGCCGCGCCCCGCGCAGCGCCGCGAACCGGAAGAAGGGCAGCGACUCGAUCACCGCCUUGCCCACGCCGGCGCCCGCCUCCUCCAAGGCCGCCGCGGCCUCUGCCGUUGUUGCAGGUGGGCGGGACGGGCUGGCGGUGGUGGCGGGGAGGAGUGGCGUGUUGGCGGGGUGGCAGAACUUGGCGUACAUGAGGAGGAGGAAGGUGAGGGAGAAGAUCAUGGUGAAGAUGCCCACCACGAUGGCCACGCUCGGCCGGAACGACACCUUCACGCCCGCCCCAGGCGGCGUCUCCUCCUCCGCCGGCCGCGCAGGCGCCUGCGCGUGCGCCCGUGCGGCGAUCGUGGCGCAGAGCAGCAGGAGCAGCAGGGUUUUCGCCAUGGCCACUUACGAUCGGUCGAACGGUCGACGGCAGAGCGAUGAUCGAUGGCGGGUUUAUGUGGUCGCCCAGGUCACUAGUCACUACCGUGGAGUUGACCGCGCCAUGGAAAUGGAAAUGAAACGCAGGAGAGGUGGGAGUGGAACCGACGAUGAUGAUGAGAGAAGAAGACGAGAGAGAGGAAGAAGUAGCCGCCCGCUGAGGUCGUCGAUCACAAAUUGA
RNAcentral lists this ribosomal RNA (1047 nucleotides) under Triticum aestivum (bread wheat). Its description in RNAcentral is "partial small subunit ribosomal RNA". Lineage: Eukaryota; Viridiplantae; Streptophyta; Magnoliopsida; Poales; Poaceae. The record is from RNAcentral.